AGAGGUGUCGCUCAGUGGUAGAGCACUUGCCUAGCAUGCUUGAGGCACUGGGUUCAAUCCCAGCACCACAU
Molecule: transfer RNA, 71 nt
Filed under: Marmota marmota marmota (Alpine marmot)
Lineage: Eukaryota; Metazoa; Chordata; Mammalia; Rodentia; Sciuridae
Also listed under: 1 other name
Rfam family: tRNA
About the family: Transfer RNA (tRNA) molecules are approximately 80 nucleotides in length. Their secondary structure includes four short double-helical elements and three loops (D, anti-codon, and T loops).
Source: Rfam by way of RNAcentral